ACGUAGGGUGCAGGCGUUAAUCGGAAUUACUGGGCGUAAAGCGUGCGCAGGCGGUUUGCUAAGACAGGUGUGAAAUCCCCGAGCUUAACUUGGGAAUUGCGCUUGUAACUGGCAAGCUAGAGUGUGGCAGAGGGGGGUGGAAUUCCACGUGUAGCAGUGAAAUGCGUAGAUAUGUGGAGGAACACCGAUGGCGAAGGCAGCCCCCUGGGUUAACACUGACGCUCAUGCACGAAAGCGUGGGGAGCAAACAGGAUUAGAUACCCUGGUAGUCCACGCCGUAAACGAUGAUAACUAGCUGUCAGGGCACAUGGUGUUUUGGUGGCGCAGCUAACGCAUUAAGUUAUCCGCCUGGGGAGUACGGUCGCAAGAUUAAAACUCAAAGAAU
This 385-nucleotide ribosomal RNA is filed under the name uncultured beta proteobacterium. RNAcentral's name for it is "bacterial SSU rRNA". It matches the Rfam family "Bacterial small subunit ribosomal RNA", at positions 525 to 909 of the family's 1533-position model. Lineage: Bacteria; Pseudomonadati; Pseudomonadota; Betaproteobacteria. The record is from RNAcentral.